Delphinapterus leucas (beluga whale) is the source of this 1897-nucleotide RNA transcript. It is a transcript of the gene named SLAM family member 6, with no coding region annotated. NCBI's taxonomy places the organism in Eukaryota, Metazoa, Chordata, Mammalia, Artiodactyla, Monodontidae. The record is from RefSeq and is a predicted model, not a curated record.
CCUUGCCACGCCUCUGAGAGGAAGAGGGCAGUUUCAGUAGAAGCACUUUCAGUCUAUGAGAGAAUGCCAAGAACAUUGACUGCCUUGAGGUCUCCAGCACCAUUCUCCACUGCUAAGAGCAUGAUCUGGCUGCUCCAGUCUCUCACGCUUGUCUCCUGCCUUGGCCCAGGGAACACAGUUUCACAAACCAGCUCAACCCCAUUGAUUGUGAACGGGGUCCUGGGGGAGUCUGUAACACUUACCCUGAAGUUUCCUGUGGAAGAGAAGAUCAUGUCCAUCACCUGGCUACAUGAUGGAAAAUCUGCCGUCUUCAUAGAGCCAAAUGAAGCACUAAACAGGGUGACUGACCCAAAGCGGAAAAAUCGAUUGAAUGUCACCGAGUCCUAUUCCUUGCAGCUCAGCAACCUGACGAUGGCAGACUCAGGACAUUACAAAGCCCAGAUAACCACACUGACCUCUUUACUGUUUACCAGUUAUGAUCUGAGGAUCUUCAGACGACUGAGGAACUUACAAGUUGUCCCUCACACCAAAUGGUCUAAUAAUAGGACCUGUGAGAUCCUCCUGACCUGCUCUGUGGAGAAUCCAAAUGAUAACAUCUUAUUCAGGUGGCAGGUCUCAGGAAAAACACUUCAAAGUGAAGCAAACCUUACUAUCUCCUGGGACCCCAAGAGUUUCAAUGAAGAGACCUACACCUGCAUAGCUGAGAAUCCUGUCAGCAAUUCAUCCUUCUCUGUCUCUGUCCAGAGUCUCUGCAAAAGUGUUACUAAUGAAAAAAAUGAACACCUGGAUACCAUGUGGAUUGUAGUGGCAGUUUCUUCAAUAUGUAUAGUUGUGGUCAUCAUCGUGCUGUUAUUUGUUUGGAGGAAAAAAAUAGGUUUCUUUCAGUUCUCUACUCAGCAAACCCAGUGUCCUGCAGAGACUGUGAGGAACUUAGAGUAUGCUUCCUUCUCUCCAGGGAGCACUGUGUAUGCUCAGGUCACCCAUUCAAAGAGGGUGAGUACUUUCAGGUUUAUACUCCUUCAUGGUCAUUAUUUUCACAGUCAUUAUACAUGAACUUGUCACCAAAUUUUUCUAAAUUCAAAUGACAUACACCAUUGAGGAGAGGCAAAGGCAGCGACAAGAACUGCAGAGUUAUGUGCGGGACCUUUCUAGACCUCAAUGCUCACACCUCAGUAGAAUGUUGACUCAUACCCUGCUUUACAUUGCUUAAUCUAACUGCUUAACGCAUCAGUGAGUCUUGUCCCUUCAGCUUAAUUACAAGCUGCCUGGAAGUGAAAAUUAUGUCUUCCUCUCUCUUCCCCUAUGUCUUAGCAUGAUGCUCAGUAAAUACUUGCUGGAUGGAUCAGAGUUCAUUUAAGCUUGAGAGCCCCCAGAGGGCAUGAUUUUGUAUCAGGGGCUUUCUCAUCCUGGAUGUAGGGGAAAUAGGGGAGCCCAGAAGAGUCUCUCAAGAGGGAAGAGGGGCAAGAAUUUGCAAUCCCUCAACAGUAGAGGACACUAAAGGCAUGAGCGGUCCUCAAUCGUCCCCUGCCCUCUAGCAACAUAACAGGAUGGCUUUGGUCAGGCACCAGGAACUCCUCGCCAUGCAUCAGUAAUUCCCCAUCAACCGCAAAAUAAAGCACCUGCAGGUGGUACAUUUCUAAAUAACACUACACAUCCUGGGAGGCCAUCUUCCAUGUCUUCUGAAAAAUAAGCCGAGAGCCAGCAUUCUUCAGUUGAUGGAAACAAUGGUCUGGCUAGAAAUCUUGGAUUCCACAAGCAAAUCUCCCUUCACAAAGCCCCUCACAGGAAAUGGAAAUCCCAAAACCUGUGAAAAACAAUGACUCCACCACAAUUUACUCUGAAGUUCAACAGUCCCAAGGGAAAGCCCAUCUAUUCCAGGACAACUGCCCUUCACAAU